Molecule: ribosomal RNA, 403 nt
Filed under: bacterium
Lineage: Bacteria
Description: partial 16S ribosomal RNA
Rfam family: Bacterial small subunit ribosomal RNA
Source: RNAcentral
UGGGGAAUAUUGCACAAUGGAGGGAACUCUGAUGCAGCGACGCCGCGUGAACGAAGAAGGCUUUCGAGUCGUAAAGUUCUUUUAUAUGGGAAGAUAAUGACGGUACCAUAAGAAAAAGCCCCGGCUAACUACGUGCCAGCAGCCGCGGUAAUACGUAGGGGGCUAGCGUUGUCCGGAAUCACUGGGCGUAAAGGGUUCGCAGGCGGAAAUGCAAGUCAGGUGUAAAAGGCAGUAGCUUAACUACUGUAAGCAUUUGAAACUGCAUAUCUUGAUAAGAGUAGAGGUAAGUGGAAUUUUUAGUGUAGCGGUGAAAUGAGUAGAUAUUAAAAAGAAUACCGGUGGCGAAGGCGGCUUACUGGGCUCAUUCUGACGCUGAGGAACGAAAGCGUGGGUAGCAAACAGG